Molecule: long non-coding RNA, 307 nt
Filed under: Mytilus galloprovincialis (Mediterranean mussel)
Lineage: Eukaryota; Metazoa; Mollusca; Bivalvia; Mytilida; Mytilidae
Source: RNAcentral
GGGGUACAGCAGUCAACAUGGCAGUUAUCAAAUAGUUCCGUUUCUAUGCGUGUUGUCGUUUGUUUUUGUUGCGCUUCAGUGAUCCUGUUGUUUCUUUGUUUUCUUCUAAUAGUUGAUGUGUUUCAGCUGGGUUUUGGUUUGUAACCCAGAUUUGUUUUUUUUUUUUUUUGAACAUCGGUAUACUACUGUUGUCUUUAUUUAUACGAUAUCUGAUAAAAUUAUAAUAUACCUUAUAAACUAUCUUAAACAUCUUAUAUAAUCCUUUUUUAUUAUUAUUAUACAUCGUAUAUCUCAUAAAAUUUAUAAG